Molecule: ribosomal RNA, 230 nt
Filed under: uncultured microorganism
Description: partial 16S ribosomal RNA
Rfam family: Bacterial small subunit ribosomal RNA
Source: RNAcentral
UACGAAGGGUGCAAGCGUUACUCGGAAUUACUGGGCGUAAAGCGUGCGUAGGUGGUUUGUUAAGUCUGAUGUGAAAGCCCUGGGCUCAACCUGGGAAUUGCAUUGGAUACUGGCAGGCUAGAGUGCGGUAGAGGGUAGUGGAAUUCCCGGUGUAGCAGUGAAAUGCGUAGAGAUCGGGAGGAACAUCCGUGGCGAAGGCGACUACCUGGACCAGCACUGACACUGAGGCA